GGAGCUGUGGCUCAGUGGAAGAGCCUCUGCUUUGCAUGCAGAAGUUUCCAGGUUCAAUCCCUAGCAACUCCA
This 72-nucleotide transfer RNA is filed under the name Sphaerodactylus townsendi. RNAcentral describes it as "tRNA-Ala". It matches the Rfam family "tRNA". From Rfam's summary of the family: Transfer RNA (tRNA) molecules are approximately 80 nucleotides in length. Their secondary structure includes four short double-helical elements and three loops (D, anti-codon, and T loops). Lineage: Eukaryota; Metazoa; Chordata; Lepidosauria; Squamata; Sphaerodactylidae. The record is from RNAcentral.